This 527-nucleotide ribosomal RNA is filed under the name Fusarium oxysporum f. sp. lycopersici. Its description in RNAcentral is "eukaryotic LSU rRNA". The stretch from base 182 to 335 matches the Rfam family "5.8S ribosomal RNA". Lineage: Eukaryota; Fungi; Ascomycota; Sordariomycetes; Hypocreales; Nectriaceae. The record is from RNAcentral.
GUCUCCGUUGGUGAACCAGCGGAGGGAUCAUUACCGAGUUUACAACUCCCAAACCCCUGUGAACAUACCACUUGUUGCCUCGGCGGAUCAGCCCGCUCCCGGUAAAACGGGACGGCCCGCCAGAGGACCCCUAAACUCUGUUUCUAUAUGUAACUUCUGAGUAAAACCAUAAAUAAAUCAAAACUUUCAACAACGGAUCUCUUGGUUCUGGCAUCGAUGAAGAACGCAGCAAAAUGCGAUAAGUAAUGUGAAUUGCAGAAUUCAGUGAAUCAUCGAAUCUUUGAACGCACAUUGCGCCUGCCAGUAUUCUGGCGGGCAUGCCUGUUCGAGCGUCAUUUCAACCCUCAAGCACAGCUUGGUGUUGGGACUCGCGUUAAUUCGCGUUCCCCAAAUUGAUUGGCGGUCACGUCGAGCUUCCAUAGCGUAGUAGUAAAACCCUCGUUACUGGUAAUCGUCGCGGCCACGCCGUUAAACCCCAACUUCUGAAUGUUGACCUCGGAUCAGGUAGGAAUACCCGCUGAACUUAA